Non-coding RNA from Corylus avellana, 203 nucleotides. NCBI's taxonomy places the organism in Eukaryota, Viridiplantae, Streptophyta, Magnoliopsida, Fagales, Betulaceae. The record is from RefSeq and is a predicted model, not a curated record.
AGUGGAGAAAGAAUGUGUUGAGAUUGAUAUCAAGUAUGAAGGCUUCAUUAUGCGGCAACAAAACCAACUUCAAUAGAUGGUCCAUAAACAACAUAAACCAAUUCCAGAGGACUUGGAUUACUAUGCAAUGACAACUUUGUCUCUUGAAGCACGUGAGAAACUGUCCAAGGUCAGGCCGCAAACCAUUGGGCAAGCAAGCAAGG